GGUUCACGUUCCUCCAGUGUCGAAAAAAAGUUCCUCCUGGCAACGUUGUAUCACUAUCUCAAAAAUGUUAAAGUGUGAGGACACCAAAUCUAACAGAUCCCGGGACAAGAGCUUCGGCUAGGAAGAUGUAACCAGAGGGUGUGUACCUACCUGGACCAGCAGCUCCAGCUUCCUGUCGUCCAGGAGGUGCACCUGGCACAGCCGGCCCUCCGUCAUCUGUGGGAAGGGAACAGACAUGACAGCAUGGUACUCCGGAUACAGUUUCCUGAAGACAGCAGAUGUCUCCACCCAUCAUAUUCCACAGGAAAACUCAAAAUAACCUGUAUGAUUUGGACCAGCAGAGGCGUUACA
Molecule: long non-coding RNA, 351 nt
Organism: Coregonus clupeaformis (lake whitefish)
Lineage: Eukaryota; Metazoa; Chordata; Actinopteri; Salmoniformes; Salmonidae
Exons: 4
Source: RefSeq, a predicted model, not a curated record